RNAcentral lists this ribosomal RNA (460 nucleotides) under uncultured bacterium. RNAcentral describes it as "bacterial SSU rRNA". It matches the Rfam family "Bacterial small subunit ribosomal RNA", at positions 340 to 789 of the family's 1533-position model. The record is from RNAcentral.
UACGGGAGGCAGCAGUGGGGAAUAUUGCACAAUGGGCGAAAGCCUGAUGCAGCUAUGCCGCGUGUAUGAAGAAGGCCUUAGGGUUGUAAAGUACUUUCAUCGGGGAGGAAAAAACAAAACUAAUAAUUUUAUUUCUUGACGUUACCCGAAAAAGAAGCACCGGCUAACUCCGUGCCAGCAGCCGCGGUAAUACGGAGGGUGCUAGCGUUAAUCAGAAUUACUGGGCGUAAAGAGCACGUAGGUGGUUUUUUUAAGUCAGAUGUGAAAUCCCUGGGCUUUAACCUGGAACUGCAUUUUGAAACUGAAAUACUAGAGUAUCGUAGAGGGAGGUAGAAUUCUAGGUGUAGCGGUGAAAUGCGUAGAUAUCUGGAGGGAUACCUGUGGCGAAAGCGGCCUCCUAAACGAAUACUGACACUGAGGUGCGAAAGCGUGGGGAGCGAAACAGGGAUUAGAUACCCGU